This 451-nucleotide ribosomal RNA is filed under the name uncultured bacterium. RNAcentral's name for it is "partial 16S ribosomal RNA". It matches the Rfam family "Bacterial small subunit ribosomal RNA", at positions 28 to 507 of the family's 1533-position model. The record is from RNAcentral.
AGCGAACGCUGGCGGCAUGCCUAACACAUGCAAGUCGCACGGGGGGGCUUCGGCCUCCCAGUGGCGGACGGGUGAGGAACGCGUGGGGACCUGUCGAGGGGUGGGGGAUAACCGCGGGAAACUGCGGCUAAUACCGCAUGACGCCGCGGCGUGACAGCCGGGGCCAAAGGCGAAAGCCGCCCGCCGAGGGGCCUGCGUCCGAUUAGCUGGUUGGCGGGGUAGCGGCCCACCAAGGCGUCGAUCGGUAGCUGGUCUGAGAGGGUGAUCAGCCACACCGGGACUGAGACACGGCCCGGACUCCUACGGGAGGCAGCAGUGGGGAAUAUUGGACAAUGGGCGCAAGCCUGAUCCAGCAAUGCCGCGUGGGUGAAGAAGGUCUUCGGAUUGUAAAGCCCUUUCGGCGGGGACGAUGGUGACGGUACCCGCAGAAGAAGCCCCGGCUAACUUCGUG